UUGUAUAUGUCCUUCAGGUUCUGUAGUGUAAUGGAAAAAUAGUAUUAGUGUAAAUGAUAUCUUGUCCCUUGUUCAAUCCAUAUGGAUAAAUUUCAGUCAAUGUGCAAUAAAAUUUCAAUUUGGGAGAAUUUGCUUGUUGAAUUUGAACCUUGUUCUCUACUGUCUGAUGUCUAUAUCGCUCCAUUAUGUUCUUGCAUAGACCAUUAUUUGUGGUCAUGUACCAUUGGUUUUGAUCAUAUAUAGGAAUUUGUAUAAAAAAUUAGAAAAUUGUAGACUGCAAAGCAAAAGUGAGAUAUCCUUUUGGUAGAAGCCUGGUAUGAAUACUCAUAAUCUUAGUUUAAAUAGGCUGGAAUUUUUGUCAGAAUUGGCAUUGUGGGAUUGAUAACUGGGGUUUUUGCUCAUUUUCAAAUGAAUUACAGUUUUUUGAGGCGGAGCUGUAGAUAUCUAUUGAAAAUCCAAUCUCCAAAACUUAAAGAAGAUCUUGUUCAACCACAGAAUUCAGAGAGCUGAAGAUGAGGAAGGAGAAGAAAGGUACAAAUUGGUUGGGAGCAAUUGAGAGUAGAGAAGAAGUCAAGAAGCUAGAUUGGAUGCCUUCGAAGGUUGAAAUUUUAUACAUUUUAUCUGUGAAGAAAUACUCUUUUAUUUUAGGGUGAUUUGGGAUAAUCUAAAUAAGUGUAUUUUUUUACUUUUUAUGAAAUAUGGGUUAGAUA
This is a non-coding RNA of Camellia sinensis, 710 nucleotides long. Lineage: Eukaryota; Viridiplantae; Streptophyta; Magnoliopsida; Ericales; Theaceae. The record is from RefSeq and is a predicted model, not a curated record.